This 806-nucleotide long non-coding RNA is filed under the name Cyanistes caeruleus (blue tit). RNAcentral describes it as "lncRNA (ENSCCEG00000011943.1)". Lineage: Eukaryota; Metazoa; Chordata; Aves; Passeriformes; Paridae. The record is from RNAcentral.
CCCUGCUUUUCCAUAUAUAAUCUUCUUGCUCCUUUCUUUUUCACAGAAAGGAUGGUGAAUUUUAACCAGAUGCACAGAGCAAUAUUCAGUAGAUAUGCCUGAUUUUAUUUCAUUUGAGGCUGAGACCGCUGCAUAACCUCUCUUCUGAGGUUCUGGACACUUGGUAUGGGUGCCUGUCUGACUCCAAACUCUGUGACUCAGAUCACCUUGAAAUGAGACGAUUUUAUUUAUUUGUCCUCCCCUGGGUCAGCUUCUGGGUGGUUUUCCUCAGGGGGCACUGCAUUUUCCUGACACACGUGGUUCCAGCUGACUGAAGAACCUGAAGGCAUACCUGAAGGGGAUGCAGUCUGUGGAGGUCUGAUGUUGGAGCAGACGAAACAAGUACAAAAGAAAGAGCAGCAGGAAAGUGUGAGCAACAAGUGGAGGAGAGAACACACUGUGCCUUGACCCCAACCUACAUUGCCUCAGCAUAACCUGCAGAGGUAGUAGGAGAUGUGGAGACUGGGAAUGGAGGAGGAAGCUGUCUGGAGUGAAGCUGAGACUGAGAAAGGUGGAGGAAAGAUUUAGGCAUUUAAUUGCUUCUCUUCUUUUGUUUCACAAUCCUCAAUUCAGUAAUUAAUGUUUUAUACUAAGUUUAAUUCCCAGUGUUGAGUCUGUUUGCCUGUGAUGGUAAGAUCCAUGAAAUUUUUUGCUCUUGCUAUUCCUAUUUUUGUCCUUUCCUACUUGUGGGGAGUGAGUGAGUAAGAGGCUGUGUAGGCAGUGUGGGUGCCUGGCUGCUAGGUCUGAGCAACCUACCACAAUGUGAU